GCACAAGCGGUGGAUCAUGUUGUUUUAAUUCGAUGAUACGCGAAGAACCUUACCAGGUCUUGACAUCCCCCGCGAUGCUUUAGAGAUAAAGCGGAGGUAUUCGGGGAGACAGGUGGUGCAUGGUUGUCGUCAGCUCGUGUCGUGAGAUGUUGGGUUAAGUCCCGCAACGAGCGCAACCCCUAUUGCUAGUUACCAUCAUUAAGUUGGGGACCCUAGCGAGACUGCCAGUGAUAAACUGGAGGAAGGUGGGGAUGACGUCAAAUCAUCAUGCCCCUUAUGACCUGGGCUACAAACGUGAUACAAUGGCUGGAACAAAGGGAUGCGAAGCAGUGAUGUGGAGCGAAACCCAUAAAAACAGUCUCAGUUCGGAUUGAAGUCUGUAACUCGACUUCAUGAAGUCGGAAUCGCUAGUAAUCGCGGAUCAGAACGCCGCGGUGAAUACGUUCUCGGGGUUU
Molecule: ribosomal RNA, 455 nt
Filed under: uncultured Acholeplasma sp.
Lineage: Bacteria; Bacillati; Mycoplasmatota; Mollicutes; Acholeplasmatales; Acholeplasmataceae
Description: bacterial SSU rRNA
Rfam family: Bacterial small subunit ribosomal RNA
Source: RNAcentral